This 234-nucleotide RNase P RNA is filed under the name Salmonella enterica. Its description in RNAcentral is "partial RNase P RNA component class A". It matches the Rfam family "Bacterial RNase P class A", at positions 128 to 367 of the family's 367-position model. Rfam says of the family: Ribonuclease P (RNase P) is a ubiquitous endoribonuclease, found in archaea, bacteria and eukarya as well as chloroplasts and mitochondria. Its best characterised activity is the generation of mature 5'-ends of tRNAs by cleaving the 5'-leader elements of precursor-tRNAs. Cellular RNase Ps are ribonucleoproteins. RNAcentral also lists the same sequence under 1 other name. The record is from RNAcentral. Lineage: Bacteria; Pseudomonadati; Pseudomonadota; Gammaproteobacteria; Enterobacterales; Enterobacteriaceae.
GCCGAUGGCCCACGCAAGUGGGAUCAGGUAAGGGUGAAAGGGUGCGGUAAGAGCGCACCGCGCGGCUGGUAACAGUCCGUGGCACGGUAAACUCCACCCGGAGCAAGGCCAAAUAGGGGUUCAUAAGGUACGGCCCGUACUGAACCCGGGUAGGCUGCUUGAGCCAGUGAGCGAUUGCUGGCCUAGAUGAAUGACUGUCCACGACAGAACCCGGCUUAUCGGUCAGUUUCACCU